RNAcentral lists this ribosomal RNA (911 nucleotides) under uncultured bacterium. RNAcentral's name for it is "bacterial SSU rRNA". It matches the Rfam family "Bacterial small subunit ribosomal RNA", at positions 33 to 928 of the family's 1533-position model. The record is from RNAcentral.
ACGCUGGCGGCGUGCCUAAUACAUGCAAGUAGAACGCUGAAAGAGGAGCUUGCUUCUCUGGAAGAGUUGCGAACGGGUGAGUAACGCGUAGGUAACCUGCCUGGUAGCGGGGGAUAACUAUUGGAAACGAUAGCUAAUACCGCAUAAGAGUAGAUGUUGCACGACAUUUGCUUAAAAGGUGCAAUUGCAUCACUACCAGAUGGACCUGCGUUGUAUUAGCUAGUUGGUGGGGUAACGGCUCACCAAGGCGACGAUACAUAGCCGACCUGAGAGGGUGAUCGGCCACACUGGGACUGAGACACGGCCCAGACUCCUACGGGAGGCAGCAGUAGGGAAUCUUCGGCAAUGGACGGAAGUCUGACCGAGCAACGCCGCGUGAGUGAAGAAGGUUUUCGGAUCGUAAAGCUCUGUUGUAAGAGAAGAACGAGUGUGAGAGUGGAAAGUUCACACUGUGACAGUAUCUUACCAGAAAGGGACGGCUAACUACGUGCCAGCAGCCGCGGUAAUACGUAGGUCCCGAGCGUUGUCCGGAUUUAUUGGGCGUAAAGCGAGCGCAGGCGGUUAGAUAAGUCUGAAGUUAAAGGCUGUGGCUUAACCAUAGUACGCUUUGGAAACUGUUUAACUUGAGUGCAAGAGGGGAGAGUGGAAUUCCAUGUGUAGCGGUGAAAUGCGUAGAUAUAUGGAGGAACACCGGUGGCGAAAGCGGCUCCCUGGCUUGUAACUGACGCUGAGGCUCGAAAGCGUGGGGAGCAAACAGGAUUAGAUACCCUGGUAGUCCACGCCGUAAACGAUGAGUGCUAGGUGUUAGACCCUUUCCGGGGUUUAGUGCCGCAGCUAACGCAUUAAGCACUCCCGCCUGGGGAGUACGACCGCAAGGUUGAAACUCAAAGGAAUGACGGGGGCCCGCACAA